This 207-nucleotide ribosomal RNA is filed under the name uncultured bacterium. RNAcentral describes it as "partial 16S ribosomal RNA". It matches the Rfam family "Bacterial small subunit ribosomal RNA", at positions 568 to 774 of the family's 1533-position model. The record is from RNAcentral.
CACGCAGGCGGCUGGGCAAGUCUGACGUGAAAGCUCCCGGCUAAACUGGGAGAGGUCGUUGGAAACUGCUUGGCUUGAGGUAAUGAGAGGGGUGCGGAAUUCCCGGUGUAGUGGUGGAAUGCGUAGAUAUCGGGAGGAACACCAGUGGCGAAAGCGGCACCCUAGCAUUGACCUGACGCUCAUGUGCGAAAGCGUGGGGAGCGAACG